AUCUGUGCCAAAAAAAACCUUGGCCAAAAAAACUCUCCUGCCCAGAGCAGAUCGAUCUCCACCGCCGACCAGACCUUCGCAUGCCCGAUCUCACGCUCGAUCGCACGCGCGAUCCACCCCUACUCCCCCUCCCCGGCCGAUCCAUCCCGGUGCCCCGGCUGAUCCACCCCUACGCCCCCUCCGCGGCCGAUCCAAACCUUCGCCGUCGCGCUAGCAGGAGGCGGCUAUCUGCUGUGGGAUCGGGCGAGGUGACGCCGGCGAUCACGACCCCGAUCCGACGGCGACCCCCUUCUGCUCUUCUCCCUCUCCUCUAGGGUUUUGGUGCCGCCAUCUCCGCACUUCCAGAAGGAGAUCGGGAGAGGCUGAGCCCAGAGCUAGAUGAAGGAGAAGAGAAUGUCCAUGGAUCAUUAAGGGGCGGCGGCGACACGAGGCUGAUGAAGGUGUUUGUAGGUGGCCUGGCGUGGGAGACGAGCAAGGAGGGCGUGCGCGUCCACUUCGAGCACUUCAGCGAGAUCCUCGAGGCCGUCGUCAUCGCCGACAAGGGCACCGGCAGAUCCAAGGGCAGCAAAUUCUCCAGUUAAUUGAUGCUAUGCCUAAAUGGAUGCUUGGUAAGUUAUGUUCUGGAGGCGGAGGCGGCCAUCAAGACAUGGUGAAUGGCGUCCAGAGGGCCAACUGCAACCUAGCUCGCCUACCUUGGGAUCCAGAGGUCCAAGGCACCACAACCAACUGCCUCUGCAUCCAUAUUCUGGGUGGUGUAGCAAGCAAGCAAGAAUUGGAGAGUCUUCGGUGCAUGCUUGGAGAAGAGGCUAAGAUGAGAGGCUUCAAUCUGGAGAUGACAAGGAUAGUCACCUGGUGCAACUAAAGGUUCGGUUUCAUACUUGUGAAGUUGUGAUGAUAUUGUUCAGGUAGUACUCCCUGACUGAUUUCACUUGUACUAUUUCUUCACAGAAGGUACUAAGAUAUCUUGUCAUACUAAUAUUUAAUUUCUACUGAUACUUUGUGAAAAUACUCAGUUUUCUUAUACUAAAAUAUACCUGUUUACUUUUGUACUGAAAUGUACCUUCUUACAAAUAUUUCAUAGGAAGGAGGAGGUUAAGGGAGAAAAAGGCAUGUGGAGACACGAGCCAGCUCAAGGAGAAGUUAACCCAUAAAUUACUUAAAUAAUAAUUUAAUAAACCUCUAAUUUACCUUACAGAAUAAAAGGCCUAUGAUGAAAGAAUAGCAUCCAGAAAAAAUACAACUAGAUAACGGCACAAUUUCAUAUGUGAGAAUGACAAAUUAGAGAGCUUAAACAUUAAGUUGCCUCCAAAGCUUUGCAAACCGCAAUGGUACAAAACUAAGUUCAGUUCUUACUGGUUUCUUACUGCAUGAAGAACUCUCGUCGUUACCAUUUUCCAAACCUGUAGCAAGCAAUGCAUUAGAUGACAAUUCAAAUUAUUGGACACCAAGACUGCUGAGAAGCAUUAUUGUAACAAACAUGGAAAGAGCUUACAUCCAUGACAUCAUCAUCCCCAUGCCUCUGACUUUUAUCCCUUUGUUCAGGUGUCAAGUAGUUGGCCAUUGGCGGAAGUUAGGUCCAGGGGGAGACUCCGGUGUCCAGGAACUCUGCCCAGGAAAGACGUCAAUCAUAAGUUCCAGGUGCUCAGGCAAGUAGUAACAUACAAAGCACACGAUGGAAGAGAUGGCGUUCCCAGAGAUGUGAAUCACAUGGGUGCGGCAUCAAGAAUGCUGCAAAGCAGAAUCUGAACUGGAAGACACAUCCACACAUAAUCAUGUGGUACCAGGAAAUUACCGAAACUCUUUCUACAGUCUUCGGUGCAUGCUUGGAGAAGAGGCUAAGAUGAGAGGCUUCAAUCUGGAGAUGACAAGGAUAGCCACCUGGUGAAACUAAAGAUUUCUGGAUAAGUGUUUCAACUGAUGGAUUCGGAUGAAACUUUCAAAAUGUCAACUGACACUGCCAUUGAUGUAACGAUAUCAUCAAGUUUUACUCAACUACAAGAUGAGAUGCAUACAAAUAACUAUUAUUUUUUGUAUGUGUGAUGCACAUGAUAACUUAAAGGGUGUAUUUUUAUAUAUGUUUAUUUUUGAAGAAUGAAAUGGAUUAUGUCGAUGUUUAAAAAGAAUCCAUCGACAAGGGUCCCGAGGCGACGUCGUUCGGAGGAGACGAAAAUUCAGCGAGUUUUAUAGAGUGAAAAACGUGCAAGCGAGGAUAGCCCAUAAUAAGAACAUUAAAGGCAAAAUAAAUAAAUGUUACACAUGGGAUAUUAUUUUUACUGUGAUUAUCGUUCUGUUCUUUCAUCCAUUUUUUUAUUCAUGUGAUUUGGCUCAUUGUGAUAUCAUAACGGCAGAUUAUGUCUGCACCCCUAAAGAUAUUACCAUCAUUGCAUCAAUCAUGUAUGUUAUGAAAAAAGUUUGCAAAACAUUAACAUUGCCAAUGAAAUGGAUUUAAAUUAUUUUCCAUUUGUUAUCUUUUAUAUACAUGCAAAUUUUAACACCUGUUAUGUUUAUAUAUAAUACCAGCAAAAUACUUAAAUGGCCGUGGUGAGUAUUCUCCGUUACACAUUUUAAGACCUUCAACUGAAGUAUUCAUGUUAACUACAUAUAUUGCUUGUGUAAGAUGGUUAUGAGUUGAGGAAGAAGUUUUUAUUAUGCUUGCUCAAAUAUCAUACAAAUAAAGCUAAAAACAACAUUACUGAUAUUGUGCGAGAAUUUCUUAAUCGAAUCAAGAAUAUCUUAAUUAGUAAUAAUUCUUAGUUGGAUCAUCGCUCUUAUGUAUGAAUCAUCAACUUGCUUUUAUGAUCUAUUUAUAUUGCAAGUAAAGUGGACUUCAAUUAUUACGCGGUUGCACUCGUGCUAUUGUGUCUUUAUUACAUGUAAAAUUUAACAUGUGUUUAUAUAACU
Molecule: long non-coding RNA, 2901 nt
Organism: Triticum aestivum (bread wheat)
Lineage: Eukaryota; Viridiplantae; Streptophyta; Magnoliopsida; Poales; Poaceae
Exons: 7
Source: RefSeq, a predicted model, not a curated record